AGAGUUUGAUCCUGGCUCAGGAUAAACGCUGGCGGCGUGCCUAACACAUGCAAGUCGAACGCCCUGAUGCAAAUCAGGGAGUGGCGGACGGGUGAGUAACACGUGGGUUAUCUGCCUUUCGGUGAGGAAUACCGGCGAGAAAUCGCCGACAAAACCGCAUGAGUUUGUGGAAACACAAAGAAAGUCGUAAGACGCCGAAA
This 200-nucleotide ribosomal RNA is filed under the name uncultured bacterium. RNAcentral's name for it is "partial 16S ribosomal RNA". It matches the Rfam family "Bacterial small subunit ribosomal RNA", at positions 8 to 223 of the family's 1533-position model. The record is from RNAcentral.